Molecule: ribosomal RNA, 664 nt
Filed under: uncultured bacterium
Lineage: Bacteria
Description: bacterial SSU rRNA
Rfam family: Bacterial small subunit ribosomal RNA
Source: RNAcentral
UAACGCGUGGGUAACCUGCCCUGUACACACGGAUAACAUACCGAAAGGUAUGCUAAUACGAGAUAAAGUACUUUUAUCGCAUGGUAGAAGUAUCAAAGCUUUUGCGGUACAGGAUGGACCCGCGUCUGAUUAGCUAGUUGGUAAGGUAACGGCUUACCAAGGCGACGAUCAGUAGCCGACCUGAGAGGGUGAUCGGCCACAUUGGAACUGAGACACGGUCCAAACUCCUACGGGAGGCAGCAGUGGGGAAUAUUGCACAAUGGGCGAAAGCCUGAUGCAGCAACGCCGCGUGAGCGAUGAAGGCCUUCGGGUCGUAAAGCUCUGUCCUCAAGGAAGAUAAUGACGGUACUUGAGGAGGAAGCCCCGGCUAACUACGUGCCAGCAGCCGCGGUAAUACGUAGGGGGCUAGCGUUAUCCGGAAUUACUGGGCGUAAAGGGUGCGUAGGUGGUUUCUUAAGUCAGAGGUGAAAGGCUACGGCUCAACCGUAGUAAGCCUUUGAAACUGGGGAACUUGAGUGCAGGAGAGGAGAGUGGAAUUCCUAGUGUAGCGGUGAAAUGCGUAGAUAUUAGGAGGAACACCAGUUGCGAAGGCGGCUCUCUGGACUGUAACUGACACUGAGGCACGAAAGCGUGGGGAGCAAACAGGAUUAGAUACCCUGGUAGU